This 775-nucleotide ribosomal RNA is filed under the name uncultured Neocallimastigales. Its description in RNAcentral is "partial large subunit ribosomal RNA". It matches the Rfam family "Eukaryotic large subunit ribosomal RNA", at positions 24 to 633 of the family's 3401-position model. The record is from RNAcentral. Lineage: Eukaryota; Fungi; Neocallimastigomycota; Neocallimastigomycetes; Neocallimastigales.
UAUCUCUGUAGAGUCUGCAUAUCAAUAAGCGGAGGAAAAGAAACUAACAAGGAUUCCCUUAGUAACGGCGAGUGAAGCGGGAAGAGCUCAAAUUUGAAAUCUUCAAGGUUUUACCUUGACGAAUUGUAGUUUAAAGAAGUGUUUUCUGUUGAAGUUUCGGUAAAAGUUCUUUGGAAUAGGACAUCAUAGAGGGUGAGAAUCCCGUAUUUGACCGUUAUUUUCAGCUGUGUGAUACACUUUCAAAGAGUCGGAUUGUUUGGGAAUGCAGUCCAAAAUGGGUGGUAAAUUUCAUCUAAAGCUAAAUAUUGGCGAGAGACCGAUAGCGAACAAGUACCGUGAGGGAAAGAUGAAAAGAACUUUGAAAAGAGAGUUAAACAGUACGUGAAAUUGUCAAAAGGGAAGCGUUUGACACCAGUGUUGUUUUCUCGAAAAUCAAUUAAAAAUGGCAUGAUUUUGUGUUGUAUUGACCUUUAAUCAGCUUUCUGCACUUUUUUCUUGUCUUUUUAAUGCACUUUUCGUUUAACAAGUCAACAUCAAUUUCUUUUGCUGUAAAAGAGUCAUUGGAAGGUGGCUUUCUUUUCGGAGAAAGUGUUUAUAGCCUUUGACUUCUGCAGUCGGAGAGAUUGAGGUCUGCAGCGUAGAUCCUUCGGGGUUAGAUGCAUUUGUGCUAAGUUAUAGCCUUUCAUAGACAACUUGUUGACUAUGAUCAGUCAUGUAGCUUACUCGCUUAUGUUAUUCUACCUACGCUUAGGAUGUUGAACGCGCACAGAGUCUC